Molecule: ribosomal RNA, 1020 nt
Filed under: Pseudodactylogyrus sp. ECR-2020
Lineage: Eukaryota; Metazoa; Platyhelminthes; Monogenea; Dactylogyridea; Pseudodactylogyridae
Description: partial large subunit ribosomal RNA
Rfam family: Eukaryotic large subunit ribosomal RNA
Source: RNAcentral
GAAACUAACCAGGAUUCUCCUAGUAAGGGCGAGUGAAAGGAGAUUAGCCCAUCACCGAAGCCUAUCCGCGUUUGUGGAAAGGGCAAUGUGGUGUCAGGGUUUGUGCCUGGGAUCGCUUGCUUACCCCAAGUCCGACACCGAAUACGGCUAGGAUCAUUUCCAUAGCGGGUGAUAGACCCGUUUGGGUAAGCUUUUUGCAGCAAGCGAACCUCAGAUGCAUGAACCUGCGAGUCGGAUUGCUUGAGAAUGCAGUCCAAAGUGGGUGGUAAACUCCAUCCAAGGCUAAAUACUGGCACGAGUCCGAUAGUAGACAAGUACCGUGAGGGAAAGUUGAAAAGUACUCUGAAGAGAGAGUAAACAGUACGUGAAACCGCUUGCAGGGAAGCUGGUGGAGUCAAGCUUCUUGUUUUGUUGUUGUGGUCAGGUAUCAUUGUGCCAAGACGUGGAGUCAGUCUUGCUGGAAAGGUUUGGGCUCAUUCGUGAGUUUCGAGUCUUCCCGGGUUGGACGAUCGAGCUGGCUCCUAUCUCUUAUACCUGGCCUUGUAUCAGCAAGGCAUGGAUCACGGUGGACAGAGUGAUGUCGUGCCAUUGUCUAACCGUAGCAUAGCGAGUAAUCUUACUUGCUUGUUGCGGGACGGCAGGUGGUAACGCGGCUCACGCCGUCAGUUAUGUAUAGUGGUCUCGACUUGCUGACCAUGAUACUGAUGUUGCUUUGUCUAUCAUGUUGGGUAUUCCAUCUUCGGAUGGUUUACCAUUGAGAACCGUGGUUUUGAAGUAGACUUUCCACCAGACCCGUCUUGAAACACGGACCAAGGAGUUUAACAUGUGCGCAAGUCACUGGGCUCUACGAAACCCAAAGGCGAAAUGAAAGUGAAAGUCUUUGUACUGAGGUGUGAUUCCUGCUUGCCCUCACACGGCGGUUGGACGCAGCACCGGCCCGUCUCAAAAUGUUGUCAUGUUGACCACGGUGGGCGUGCUUCAUUGAGGCGGAGCAAGAGCGCACAUGUUGAGACCGAAGAG